AAAUGUUUUUAAAUUAUUUUUUUAUUUUUAAAAAAGACUAUUAGAUGGCAUUAUUGUAGUAAUUUCAGAAGUUAGACUCUUAGUAAUGCUAAUCUAGUCAUUUUAAUUUCUAUUUGUACUCUAGUAUUUGAAUCUGUACUAUUAUGGAAGCUGUUUUGAAUGGAUGAUCAACAUCUUCGGAAUGAAGUUGUAGCUUGGCUGAGAGAUCACAGAGAAAACAAGAAAUUCUGCGCAUAUGAAGAAGGUGUAGUUAAAGUUAAUAUAGACAGCAAGAACUUGCAAUAAAAGAACAACUGAAAACAGCUCUAUGUGUAGGGACAGUGAAGAUGCAGUGUGAAUUAUACAAAGAUCAAAAAAUCAUUGCUAAAAGAGGAGUUUGAAAACUUGAAAAUAACCAAAAAUUUCACUAGAUCUGAUACACAUCUAAACUGGAGUGAUAUGUCUUACUUCUGGACCAGGGGUAAAAUUCUAAAAGAAAAAAGUAGAGGUACUCAGCUGGGUGAAGUGGACCUGUUUUUGAAAAAUUAAAAUAAAAUCUACUUGUAAACAUAAAAAACGACAAAGCAGUUCAAAUAAGUUCAGGUAAAUCUUCAUUUGAAAAUGAUUUCUUCCGCAGUUUGAAUCAAGAUUUUGAUGGAAAUCCAUGCUUUUGCAGAGUAAUUUACCUAUAGAUGACCUGUCUUUGGUCAAUAUACACUGGAAGAAUAUUUGAAAGACAUAUUUAUCCUAGCCUCAGUUGCAAGUGCAAGAUUGGAGUUGGGAUGUUUGCAUGAAGUGCAAAUGUUGUGGAUGUAUUCAUGAUGGGAGUUUCUGUUGAAAUUAAAUCAGUCAGAAGUGUUAUUAUUUUCAUUAUAAUCAUUUUCAUUGCAUUAGAUCAUUCAGUAAUGACAGAUUUAGAUAUGAUUGAUCAGACCUCAUUCAAUGAAAGUCAUGAAGUUGAAGAAUAUAUUAUUGUUUGUACUAAAUGUGACAAACAUGCUGAAAACCAUUCAUAUCGUGCAAAUCAAGGUCGAAAUGGAAUAGCCUCAGUCAAAUUAUCCUUGCUUUUAGUAAGAAUUUUCAACAAUCUACACCAAAAUAG
Molecule: long non-coding RNA, 1081 nt
Filed under: Limulus polyphemus (Atlantic horseshoe crab)
Lineage: Eukaryota; Metazoa; Arthropoda; Merostomata; Xiphosura; Limulidae
Description: uncharacterized LOC106475656, transcript variant X5
Source: RNAcentral